This 409-nucleotide ribosomal RNA is filed under the name uncultured bacterium. RNAcentral's name for it is "bacterial SSU rRNA". It matches the Rfam family "Bacterial small subunit ribosomal RNA", at positions 355 to 776 of the family's 1533-position model. The record is from RNAcentral.
CGGGGAAUCUUGCACAAUGGGCGAAAGCCUGAUGCAGCGACGCCGCGUGAGGGAUGAAGGCCUUCGGGUUGUAAACCUCUUUCAGGAGGGACGAAGCGAAAGUGACGGUACCUCCAGAAGAAGCCCCGGCCAACUACGUGCCAGCAGCCGCGGUAAUACGUAGGGGGCGAGCGUUGUCCGGAUUUAUUGGGCGUAAAGAGCGCGUAGGCGGCUCAUCAAGUCGGAUGUGAAAGUCCAGGGCUCAACCCUGGGAUGCCAUUCGAAACUGAUGGGCUAGAGCAUGGCAGGGGGAUCUGGAAUACCUGGUGUAGCGGUGAAAUGCUUAGAUAUCAGGUGGAACACCGGUGGCGAAGGCGGGAUCCUGGGCCAUUGCUGACGCUGAGGCGCGAAAGCUGGGGGAGCGAACAGG